The sequence is a non-coding RNA, 336 nucleotides long. It matches the Rfam family "Bacterial small subunit ribosomal RNA", at positions 1 to 365 of the family's 1533-position model.
CAACCUGAGAGUUUGAUUCUGGCUCAGAACGAACGCUGGCGGAAGGCUUAACACAUGCAAGUCGAGCGCGCCCUUCGGGGUGAGCGGCAGACGGGUGAGUAACGCGUGGGAACGUACCUUUUGGUUCGGAAUAGCCCUUGGAAACGAGGAGUAAUGCCGAAUAAGCCCCUUGGGGGAAAGAUUUAUCGCCAAAAGAUCGGCCCGCGUUAGAUUAGCUUGUUGGUGAGGUAAAAGCUCACCAAGGCGACGAUCUAUAGCUGGUCUGAGAGGAUGAUCAGCCACACUGGGACUGAGACACGGCCCAGACUCCUACGGGAGGCAGCAGUGGGGAAUCUU